AAAAGACAAAGGCAUACUCAUCGUGAGGUGAGGACGCAAAGCUUCCGGUCUAGCAAAUAGAUAGCGGGGUUACCAAA
This 77-nucleotide non-coding RNA is filed under the name Nitrosomonas aestuarii. Its description in RNAcentral is "GEMM cis-regulatory element". It matches the Rfam family "c-di-GMP-I riboswitch aptamer". From Rfam's summary of the family: GEMM was predicted in a large-scale screen for bacterial structured RNA regulatory elements. Genes associated with GEMM are involved in a diverse array of functions, including chemotaxis regulation, signal transduction, secretion and chitin. The record is from RNAcentral. Lineage: Bacteria; Pseudomonadati; Pseudomonadota; Betaproteobacteria; Nitrosomonadales; Nitrosomonadaceae.